Nematolebias whitei (Rio pearlfish) is the source of this 193-nucleotide long non-coding RNA. RefSeq lists it as uncharacterized. The transcript is spliced from 3 exons. The record is from RefSeq and is a predicted model, not a curated record. NCBI's taxonomy places the organism in Eukaryota, Metazoa, Chordata, Actinopteri, Cyprinodontiformes, Rivulidae.
CUGCCAGCUGACUCUCUGCCGUCACAGGCGCAGUUCUAGCAGUGAAUCUAACAGUCACCAGAAAUGGAUACCCUUUCCUCCAAUUCUUCCAUAUCAACCCUUAAAUAUCUGCAAGUUGUUUCCGGCUCUUUGCCCCACAUCACCUGCUCCCCCUACAGUACCAACAACAAAAACAACAACAACAACCACAACG